GUUCCAGGUUGGGUAGUGGUUCCAGGUUGGAUGGUGUUUCCAGGUUCCAGGUUGGAUGGUGUUUCCAGGUUCCAGGUUGGGUGGUGUUUCCAGGUUGGGUGGUGUUUCCAGGUUCCAGGUUGGGUAGUGGUUCCAGGUUGGAUGGUGUUUCCAGGUUGGGUGGUGUUUCCAGGUUCCAGGUUGGGUGGUGGUUCCAGGAUGGAUGGUGUUUCCAGGUUCCAGGUUGGAUGGUGUUUCCAGGUUCCAGGUUGGAUGGUGUUUCCAGGUUAGAUGGUGUUUCCAGGUUCCAGGUUGGGUAGUGUUUCCAGGUUGGAUGGUGUUUCCAGGUUCCAGGUUGGAUGGUGUUUCCAGGUUCCAGGUUGCAUGGUGUUUUCAGGUUCCAGGUUGGAUGGUGUUUUCAGGUUCCAGGUUGGAUGGUGUUUCCAGGUUCCAGGUUGGAUGGUGUUUCCAGGUUCCUGGUUGGAUGGUGUUUCCAGGUUCCAGGUUGGAUGGUGGUUCCAGGUUCCAGGUUGGGUGGUGGUUCCAGGUUCCAGGUUGGGUGGUGGUUCCAGGUUCCAGGUUGGGUGGUGUUUCCAGGUUCCAGGUUGGGUGGUGUUUCCAGGUUCCAGGUUGGGUGGUGUUUUCAGGUUCCAGGUUGGAUGGUGUUUUCAGGUUCCAGGUUGGAUGGUGUUUCCAGGUUCCAGGUUGGAUGGUGUUUCCAGGUUCCAGGAUGGAUGGUGUUUCCAGGUUCCAGGUUGGAUGGUGUUUCCAGGUUAGAUGGUGUUUCCAGGUUCCAGGUUGGGUGGUGUUUCCAGGUUGGAUGGUGUUUCCAGGUUCCAGGUUGGAUGGUGUUUCCAGGUUCCAGGUUGGAUGGUGUUUCCAGGUUCCAGGUUGCAUGGUGUUUUCAGGUUCCAGGUUGGAUGGUGUUUUCAGGUUCCAGGUUGGAUGGUGUUUCCAGGUUCCAGGUUGGAUGGUGUUUCCAGGUUCCUGGUUGGAUGGUGUUUCCAGGUUCCAGGUUGGAUGGUGGUUCCAGGUUCCAGGUUGGAUGGUGGUUCCAGGUUCCAGGUUGGGUGGUGUUUCCAGGUUCCAGGUUGGGUGGUGGUUCCAGGUUGGAUGGUGUUUCCAGGUUGGAUGGUGUUUCCAGGUUCCAGGUUGGAUGGUGUUUCCAGGUUCCUGGUUGGAUGGUGUUUCCAGGUUCCAGGUUGGAUGGUGGUUCCAGGUUCCAGGUUGGAUGGUGUUUUCAGGUUCCAGGUUAGAUGGUGUUUCCAGGUUCCAGGUUGGGUGGUGUUUCCAGGUUCCAGGUUGGGUGGUGUUUUCAGGUUCCAGGUUGGGUGGUGUUUCCAGGUUCCAGGUUGGGUGGUGGUUCCAGGUUGGGUGGUGGUUCCAGGUUCCAGGUUGGAUGGUGUUUCCAGGUUCCAGGUUGGGUGGUGUUUCCAGGUUCCAGGUUGGGUGGUGUUUUCAGGUUCCAGGUUGGGUGGUGUUUUCAGGUUCCAGGUUGGGUGGUGUUUUCAGGUUCCAGUUUAGGUGGUGUUUUCACGUUCCAGGUUCGGGGGAUGUUUCCAGGUUCCAGGUUGGGUGGUGGUUCCAGGUUCCAGGUUGGAUGGUGUUUCCAGGUUGGAUGGUGUUUUCAGGUUCCAGGUUGGAUGGUGUUUCCAGGUUGGAUGGUGUUUCCAGGUUCCAGGUUGGAUGGUGUUUUCAGGUUCCAGGUUGGAUGGUGUUUCCAGGUUCCAGGUUGGAUGGUGUUUCCAGGUUCCAGGUUGGGUGGUGUUUCCAGGUUCCAGGUUGGGUGGUGGUUCCAGGUUGGAUGGUGGUUCCAGGUUGGAUGGUGGUUCCAGGUUCCAGGUUGGGUGGUGUUUCCAGGUUCCAGGUUGGGUGGUGUUUUCAGGUUCCAGGUUGGGUGGUGUUUCCAGGUUCCAGGUUGGGUGGUGUUUCCAGGUUCCAGGUUGGGUAGUGGUUCCAGGUUGGAUGGUGUUUCCAGGUUGGGUGGUGUUUCCAGGUUCCAGGUUGGGUGGUG
RNAcentral lists this long non-coding RNA (1993 nucleotides) under Salmo salar (Atlantic salmon). RNAcentral describes it as "lncRNA (ENSSSAG00000102793.1)". Lineage: Eukaryota; Metazoa; Chordata; Actinopteri; Salmoniformes; Salmonidae. The record is from RNAcentral.